GUUCCUAUAGCAUAAUUGGAUAGUGCGUCCGCCUCCUAAGCGGUUGAUCCCGGUUCGAAUCCGGGUGGGAACAUCA
Molecule: transfer RNA, 76 nt
Filed under: Paucilactobacillus hokkaidonensis JCM 18461
Lineage: Bacteria; Bacillati; Bacillota; Bacilli; Lactobacillales; Lactobacillaceae
Description: tRNA-Arg
Rfam family: tRNA
About the family: Transfer RNA (tRNA) molecules are approximately 80 nucleotides in length. Their secondary structure includes four short double-helical elements and three loops (D, anti-codon, and T loops).
Source: RNAcentral